RNAcentral lists this ribosomal RNA (388 nucleotides) under uncultured bacterium. RNAcentral describes it as "bacterial SSU rRNA". It matches the Rfam family "Bacterial small subunit ribosomal RNA", at positions 28 to 417 of the family's 1533-position model. The record is from RNAcentral.
GACGAACGCUGGCGGCGUGCUUAACACAUGCAAGUCGAACGAGGCUCCUUCUUCGGUUGGGGUUCUAGUGGCGAACGGGUGAGUAACACGUGGGCAACCUGCCCCUGGCUCUGGGAUAACUCCAAGAAAUUGGGGCUAAUACCGGAUAUGACCGCUGAUCGCAUGGUCUGGUGGUGGAAAGAUUUAUCGGCUGGGGAUGGGGCCCGCGGCCUAUCAGCUUGUUGGUGGGGUAGUGGCCACCAAGGCGACGACGGGUAGCCGGCCUGAGAGGGUGACCGGCCACACUGGGACUGAGACACGGCCCAGACUCCUACGGGAGGCAGCAGUGGGGAAUAUUGCGCAAUGGGCGAAAGCCUGACGCAGCGACGCCGCGUGGGGAUGACGGCCU